RNAcentral lists this transfer RNA (87 nucleotides) under Blumeria hordei DH14. Its description in RNAcentral is "tRNA-Tyr for anticodon GUA". The record is from RNAcentral. Lineage: Eukaryota; Fungi; Ascomycota; Leotiomycetes; Helotiales; Erysiphaceae.
CCCUCGGUCGUCUAGUUGGUUUAUGGCGUCCGGCUGUAAUUCGUGAAUGGUACCGGAAUGUCGCGCGUUCGACUCGCGCCUGAGGGA